CUAUUUCUUAUUGGCCAUUUUGAGGAAGUCCAACAUUACCAUACAUGGUGAGACACACCAAGCUGCUCAGACAUUAUUAAAGGAGUCAGUGAUGAAACUCUGAAGCAUUUUAAUUGGUGUUUUCAUGGCGUUGAAGAAGAGGGCUGGUCGAGUGUCAGAAUAAAAACCAUCUGCUUCCUCUUCCUCAUCACUCCUGCUUCACUGCAGACUCACACAGCAUCUCUGAACAUCCUGACCUGAGCAACAGAGAAAAUGGUUUUCACUAUGCCUUUGAGGGUCCUUCUUCUCGGGAUUGUUUUGCUUUCCUGUAUUCAAAGUGUGGUGAAUGAAGAUGUGGACAUUAACACCCUUGCCAGGAUUCAAAAAUUUUUUCAUGACAAUUAUUAUAACGGUGGCCAGUAUGCAGUAGGCAUCAAUGUCCCACAGCAGCAGUGCCGAAGUGGAUUCUACCCCACAAGACGCAACUUUCUGACACAUGACCCAUCAGGAAACAGUUAGACCUCUCAUACAACGUGACAGCAUGUAUGUCUACAGAGGCACUGAACUCAUCGCUGCAGGGGUUCAUAGAGAUGCACAUUCAGAGCAUUUACUGAUGAAUCCUCCAAAUACUUCUCCUUUGACAAACUUGAUGAAUACAAACAGAGAUGGAUGUGUGGUUUUCUACACCGCAAAUAGUCCCUGUAUAAACCGUUGUCUCAAUAACAAUUACAGAAACAAUAUUAUACUAGGUCUUAAUAAUUUAAAUGCAUACCAGGGAAUUAAAGCCUUUGUUUUCUCAAAUAUCUUCACAAAUGACCAAAAUAGCCCAAAUCUUAGAACUGAACUACAGAAGAUUGCUGAUCGUGUGCCGCUUUACCGCUGUAACUAUGGUAGUUGUAUCCUUUGUGGACAACCAGGUUCAAACAUACCAGUGAUAAAUCAAUGUUUAAUAACAUAGGUCUCACUUGCUCACUAAUGUUGAGUUUCUUGUUUGACAGCGAUGCUUUAAAUGAACCGAUGAGCUAGUUAUCUGCUGAGACUUUUGAAGAUACACUUCAGUGCUUAAAUAGCCUUUCACAUGCAGCUUUUUGCUUUUUCUUUCAAAAAGCACAAUACUUAGAAAUUCGUAAACUAUUGCAGGGGAGAGUAAAUAUUCACCUUUCAUGAUUAUAAUCAAAUUCAGCAACAAUUGGAAAUUUGAAGGUCUUGAUAAAGGACACGUACCAGUAGAUUAAAGCUUUUGUAUUCAGAAACAUUUGGCAUUUUGAACGUAUAGGUUUAAUGCUGUGAGCCACAAUGUUUUUUGACAUGUUGUGAUUAAAAUGCUUAAAUGACAAAAUUUGUAAUGAUUUCAUAAACAUUGCUUGCUUGGGGAAAAUAAAUACAUUUCUAUGCACCA
Molecule: long non-coding RNA, 1378 nt
Organism: Megalobrama amblycephala (Wuchang bream)
Lineage: Eukaryota; Metazoa; Chordata; Actinopteri; Cypriniformes; Xenocyprididae
Exons: 3
Source: RefSeq, a predicted model, not a curated record